ACGAUAACGGCGUCGAGCGGCCGUGGACGGGGUGAGUAAUGCCUAGGAAAUUGCCCUGAUGUGGGGGAUAACCAUUGGAAACGAUGGCUAAUACCGCAUGAUGCCUACGGGCCAAAGAGGGGGACCUUCGGGCCUCUCGCGUCAGGAUAUGCCUAGGUGGGAUUAGCUAGUUGGUGAGGUAAGGGCUCACCAAGGCGACGAUCCCUAGCUGGUCUGAGAGGAUGAUCAGCCACACUGGAACUGAGACACGGUCCAGACUCCUACGGGAGGCAGCAGUGGGGAAUAUUGCACAAUGGGCGCAAGCCUGAUGCAGCCAUGCCGCGUGUGUGAAGAAGGCCUUCGGGUUGUAAAGCACUUUCAGUCGUGAGGAAGGCAGUGUAGUUAAUAGCUGCAUUAGUUUGACGUUAGCGACAGAAGAAGCACCGGCUAACUCCGUGCCAGCAGCCGCGGUAAUACGGGAGGGGGCGAGCGUUAAUCGGAAUUACUGGGCGUAAAGCGCAUGCAGGUGGUUUGUUAAGUCAGAUGUGAAAGCCCGGGGCUCAACCUCGGAAUUGCAUUUGAAACUGGCAGACUAGAGUACUGUAGAGGGGGGUAGAAUUUCAGGUGUAGCGGUGAAAUGCGUAGAGAUCUGAAGGAAUACCGGUGGCGAAGGCGGCCCCCUGGACAGAUACUGACACUCAGAUGCGAAAGCGGUGGGGAGCAAACAGGGAUUAGAUACCCUGGUAGUCCACGCCGUAAACGAUGUCUACUUGGAGGUUGUGGCCUUGAGCCGUGGCUUUCGGAGCUAACGCGUUAAGUAGACCGCCUGGGAGAGUACGUCGCAAGAUUAAAACUCAAAUGAAUUGACGGGGGCCCGCACAAGCGGUGGAGCAUGGGGCUUAAUUCGAUGCAACGCGAAGAACCUUACCUACUCCUUGACUUCCAGAGAACUUUCCAGAGAAUGAUUGGUGCCUUCGGGAACUCUGAGACAGGUGCUGCAUGCCUGCCGUCAGCUCGAGUUGUGAAAAUGUUGGGCUAGGUCCCGCAACGAGGGCAACCCUUAUCCUUGUUUGCCAGCGAGUAUUGCCGGGAACUCUAGGGAAACUGCCUGGUGAUAAACCAUGGAGGAAGGUGGGGUACGCCAUGCAGUCACUAUGGCCCUUACGAGUAGGGCUACACACGUGCUACAAUGGCGCAUACAGAGGGCGGCAAACUUGCGAAAAUGAGCGAAAUCCCAAAAGUGCGUCGUAGUCCGGAUUGGAGUUUGCAACUCGCACUCCAUGAAGUCGAAUCGCUAGUAAUCGUGGAUCAGAAUGCCACGGUGAAUACGUUCCCGGGCCUUGUGACACACCGUCAGUCACACCAUGGGAGUGGGCUGCAAAAGAAGUAGGUAGUUUAACCUUCACCUUACCACUUGCCACUUUGUGGUUCAUGACUGGGUAGAAGUCGUAACAAGGUAACC
RNAcentral lists this ribosomal RNA (1441 nucleotides) under Vibrio parahaemolyticus. RNAcentral's name for it is "bacterial SSU rRNA". It matches the Rfam family "Bacterial small subunit ribosomal RNA". Lineage: Bacteria; Pseudomonadati; Pseudomonadota; Gammaproteobacteria; Vibrionales; Vibrionaceae. The record is from RNAcentral.